This 430-nucleotide ribosomal RNA is filed under the name uncultured bacterium. Its description in RNAcentral is "bacterial SSU rRNA". It matches the Rfam family "Bacterial small subunit ribosomal RNA", at positions 917 to 1344 of the family's 1533-position model. The record is from RNAcentral.
GGACCCGCACAAGCGGUGGAGCAUGUGGUUUAAUUUGACGCAACGCGGAGAACCUUACCAGCCCUUGACAUCCCGGUCGCGAGGAGUGGAGACACACCUCUUCAGUUCGGCUGGACCGGUGACAGGUGGUGCACGGCUGUCGUCAGCUCGUGUCGUGAGAUGUUCGGUUAAGUCCGGCAACGAGCGCAACCCCUAUUGUUAGUUGCCAGCAUUAAGUUGGGGACUCUAACGAUACUGCCAGUGAUAAGCUGGAGGAAGGCGGGGAUGACGUCAAGUCAUCAUGCCCCUUAUGGGCUGGGCUACACACGUGCUACAAUGGUGGUGACAGUGGGCAGCGACUUCGCGAGGAGGAGCAAAUCCCAUAAACCGUGGCUCAGUUCAGAUCGUAGGCUGCAACUCGCCUACGUGAAGGCGGAAUCGCUAGUAAUCG